This 992-nucleotide ribosomal RNA is filed under the name Onisimus nanseni. Its description in RNAcentral is "eukaryotic LSU rRNA". It matches the Rfam family "Eukaryotic large subunit ribosomal RNA", at positions 1 to 634 of the family's 3401-position model. The record is from RNAcentral. Lineage: Eukaryota; Metazoa; Arthropoda; Malacostraca; Amphipoda; Lysianassidae.
UCGACUUAGGAGGGAUUACCCGCUGAACUUAAGCAUAUCAGUAAGCGGAGGAAAAGAAACCAAUCAGGGAUUUCCUUAGUAAGUGCGACCGAACAGGAAUAAGCCCAGCGCAGAACCUCCCGGGCCACCCGGCCUGCGGCGGAAUGUUGCGUAAAGGGAAAGAUCGUAUUCAAACCCUACAACCUCACGAACUCUAAGUAAGCCACGAAUCGGCUAUCCCGUCUAACGUCGGGAGAGACUCCAUGGAGGGUGUAAGACCCGUGUGGGCGUGUGUCAAUGUUGUAUGGGCUCGAUCUCUUCCCUGAGAGUCGCGUUGCUUGAGAAUGCAGCGCUAAGCAGGUCGUAAACUCGAUCUAAGGCUAAAUAUUUCCACAGGACCGAUAGCAAACAAGUACCGUGAGGGAAAGUUGAAAAGUACUCUGAAGAGAGAGUCAAAAGACCGUGAAACCGUUCAGAGUAUAAGCCCAUGGCGCUCGGAAGGCUCCCGCAGUGGCGUGCAUCCUACGGGGUGUACGACAAUUCAAAGAAUUCUGUUCGUGUGACUGUGAGCUUAUUGCAAGUGUAUCGGUCGGUUUUCGAUUGGUUGUGGUACGGGAAGCUGUGGAUGAAUGUUUGUGUCCUUCCCGUGCUCGGCCUCUAAUGAGAAUGGACGUCCAAGGUCGAUGAGUUAAUGCGGUAUUGGCCCACCACAGUUCGUUGUGAGGUCACCCACAGGCUCAAACUGUCAAUCGUGUGUUCAAGGCUAUUCGGCAUUCAUUGCAUGCUGUCGUAUGGGUUUCGCCGACACCCAAUAGCGGUGAUUCCUGGCAUGUAGUCGUACCUUGGGCCAGGUGACGAAAAGAGUAUAUCCUGGUAUGAUCCUCGUGCGACGAUCUGAUUCUGACCGGGUUCGUAUGUUACCACAGGCUUUACCCAUGUGCCGGGUAUUGCCUGGUAGCCCCACAGCUGUUUGGUCCUCUGGACGAUGUCAAAGUCGACAAGGCUUCAGUUGA